This 436-nucleotide ribosomal RNA is filed under the name uncultured Chromatiales bacterium. RNAcentral's name for it is "bacterial SSU rRNA". It matches the Rfam family "Bacterial small subunit ribosomal RNA", at positions 1087 to 1525 of the family's 1533-position model. Lineage: Bacteria; Pseudomonadati; Pseudomonadota; Gammaproteobacteria; Chromatiales. The record is from RNAcentral.
CCGUACGAGCGCACCCUUGCCCCUAGUUGCCAGCACUUCGGGUGGGAACUCUAGGGAGACUGCCGGUGAUAAACCGGAGGAAGGUGGGGAUGACGUCAAGUCAUCAUGGCCCUUAUGGGGAGGGCUACACACGUGCUACAAUGGCCGGUACAGAGGGCUGCGAAGCCGCGAGGUGGAGCGAAUCUCAGAAAACCGGUCGUAGUCCGGAUUGCAGUCUGCAACUCGACUGCAUGAGGCCGGAAUCGCUAGUAAUCGCGGAUCAGAACGCCGCGGUGAAUACGUUCCCGGGCCUUGUACACACCGCCCGUCACACCAUGGGAGUGGGCUGUACCAGAAGUAGGUAGUCUAACCUUCGGGAGGACGCUUACCACGGUGUGGUUCAUGACUGGGGUGAAGUCGUAACAAGGUAGCCCUAGGGGAACCUGGGGCUGGAUCA